CAGGCUCCUGGACUCACACCUGGAGAGGGGGGACCCCGCCCCGCUCUGGGCCCACUCUGGGGGCGGGAUCUUAGGUUCAUCUUUCUGCAUUUUCUGUUUUACUCUUUUCUACCAUAGACAAGUGUGCAUUACUUUUCAUAAUUUGAAAAUAAAAUCAUAAAAAAUCAAGACUUUCAGAUAAACGUACAUUUAGACAUGAAUUAACUAUAAAAUGUAGCAAAGCGAGCUCUCAGCGGGCUGCCUGGUCACGGUGGUUUCUGGGAUGAAGACAAGCAGCUGGCCGGGUGGCUGAACCUGGUUGAUAGAGUCUGUGCACCGACCCUCCGGAGGGCAGGGCGCGCUGCCCCCUCGGAGGAGUCCUGCCUCGGAGACACAAUAUUACUAAAACUUAUGUCGUGACAACAUGUGCCUCUUAAUCUCCAAAGUAAUCCUGUGAGGUAAGUAUUACUGUUUUCAUUAUUCCCAUUUUUCAGGAAAAUUGGGGCCCAGAGAGAUUAAGUAAAUUGCUGAAGGUCACACAGCACAAAAGGGGUGGAGAGGAUUCUAGUCUCAGAAUUUGUCCCAAGGGCCACCUCUUGACCCGUAGGGGAUGCCGGCCUUCCUGUCUCCCUGACACCCCCUCCACUGGGACGCCAGCAAGGUCUGUGUAAAAAGCAGACCUUUCUAGAGCUGGUGGAGCUCCACUUUAGACAAAUCGGAACAUUCGAGGUCCACAGAGAGAGUGUAGUGUCCUCCAAAGAAUGAGGUCAGGGUCGGCAGACCUGGGUGUGUGAGGCCCUGCGUCCACUCCUGCCUCUGAAACCUCAGAGGGGGAAACUGAGGCACAGAGAUGCUAAGACCCUGCCCAGAGCCAGCCAUCAAGGAGGCAGCCGUCCUGCAUUCACUGGGCGUGGACUUUGUGCGCACCGCUGGUCCCACAGAUGGGCGCACCGGGGCCCGGGGGUGCACAGUGGGAGGUGCAGAGUGGGAGCCGGCGUGGGUGGGGGCAGUGAGGAGGCGCAAGCCCCUGCCUCUCUGGCCUCCCCUGUAGGGUCCCCACCCACCACCGGCCAGCUCCUUUCUGCUCAUCCCGCCUGGACCUCCCCUCCCUGGCCCCCGCCCCAGUCCCUCUGUCCUGGCCAAAUUCUCAGCUUAACAGUGACUUCUCAGGGGUCCUUCCCAGACCCCCCCACUGUAGAUUGGGGCCCCCUUUCACCUCUCCCAGCGGCCUCUGCCCCGGAGCGCUGGUCACGGUUUGCCUUCUCCCUCUGGUCUGUGGCUGUCGGACUGAGGUCUUCGGGAGACCGUCAGCUCCGAGGGGCGGGACCCUCAGCCUCACCCAGCACACGGCCGGCACGUGGCAGGUGCACAGCCCAGUGCGGGACGAGUGAAGAGAGAGGAGCAAAGGCAUGAAGGGAUGCAGGCAUGCUCCAGCCGAGACGCUGCAGGGCGGCUGGAAGGGGGCACGGGGUUGUCAGCUGUGGCGGCUGCGGUUCUUUUUUCUCACUGAAGAGGAACGUGUGAUGAUCGUGGAAGGAAUGCUUGGCUGUCACUCCCCAGCGAAGCGGCUGAUCUCUUGUAUUUUGACUGUCCCAUCCCACAUCUGGGAGAAGAACUUUCCUCCCUCUAGGGGGUGGGGGCCAUGACACCUUGUCUGCCCUGGUGAUCCUGGGUGCUCUCCGUCCCUCUGAAGCAAGCAGGGGAUCCAGCCUCCCAGCCCUGGGCCGGCACUUUGCACCGGUGGCCGAUGUUGAGGCUGCAGACUGCCUGAGAGAGCAGCUCAGGCGCAGAGGGAGGAAGCACCAGGGCUGAGAUGGGGAGGGGUCCGCAUCGCUGCGCUUUCUCCAGUGGUCUCCUUCUGGCUCCUCCAGGUGCAGGAAAAGAGCCGUGUAGGCAAGCCUGUGGUGUCUGACCCCAAGCAGCAGGGGAGGGUUCUGGGCUCUCAGUGUCCCCCACAGCUUUCUCCCCUUCCCAGAAGAUAGCAGGACUUUAUGUUCCGGUCCUUCUUCAGGCUUUGGUAGCAGGGAGUAGAGAGCAGAGUUUGCUGAAGGACGACCCAGGCUUGGAGGGAGCGUGGCUGAGGUGGUAGGCGCUGGCCAGAAGGUAGGAUCUCUGCCCGUGUGGAUUGGACCCUGGAUGCUGAGGCCUCCUCGUCUCCAAAAGACCCCUCUGCCCCAUCUCUUGGCCACUGCCCUCAAGGGACCCCGAGGGUCUGUAUAUCAGGGGCCAGGGGCCAGGGCCAAGUUGUCAGGGUUGGAAGCACCCCAUCCCGUUUGCUGGCGUGUCCCUCUAUCCUCUCUGUGCCUCAGUGUCCUCGUCUGAAGACUGGGGACAGGCAGAAGACCCUGUAAUCUGCAGCGGGAUGAUUUCAACACACAGAGCAGUUGAUCCAUGCCUUGAACAGCCGGUGCUCACACAGUACCCAGGAAGCACUCAAUAAAUGCUUGCUGUUCAUGUAAGUUGUGACUGACCAGUGUGGACUGUGGGUCUGGUGGCCCCCCGAGAGUGUGGCUCUGGGCCAGCCCUGGGGCCUUUGAGGAGCAGUGGGGCGGAUGGCUGGUCCCGCCACCGCGUGGGAUGGGGGCCUGAGGCACUUCUUGGGGGUUUGAGAGGCGAGUGGAAUGUGAGUGUCUAAGGUCAGCGAGAUUCAGGCUCACUGUCCCGUCUCAUGGGAGGCUGGCCGGGCCAGGGUGGGGGGUCGCCAAGGUAAACCUCCCACGGAGGGAGCCCAGCCUGCAUGUCACCUCGGCACCCUUUGAGGUGAGCUAGGUGACCCAUGUUUUGUAGGUGAGGAAGCUGACACUCAGGGCCACCAUGGGGAGCCGCCCCAUGCUCAUGACCGAUGAGCCGCGGAUCAGGGACCGGAACCUGGUCUGUUUCCUGAGCUUGAGGACCCUCGACAUCGGACUCAGCUGCCCUUAAGGGGCACUGACUUCCCAGGGGUCCCGGGCUCUGGUCUCCAGCGAUGGGACUGGCUCUGCCCAGUGUCCAGCUCCUGCGGCUUCUGGCCUCUGAGCUCAGUGGCUGAGCCCUUGGUGGGGACGUGUCCCCUGCCUCCUCUCUCCCUAGAAGCUGCUCCGUGUCCUCAGGAGCUGGAGGAUGGUUUUGCCACCUGGUGCCCGCGAGGCGGUGCCCAGGUGCUGGGAAGGGCGGG
This 3133-nucleotide long non-coding RNA is filed under the name Equus caballus (horse). Its description in RNAcentral is "lncRNA (ENSECAG00000053391.1)". Lineage: Eukaryota; Metazoa; Chordata; Mammalia; Perissodactyla; Equidae. The record is from RNAcentral.